This 468-nucleotide ribosomal RNA is filed under the name uncultured Syntrophorhabdaceae bacterium. Its description in RNAcentral is "bacterial SSU rRNA". It matches the Rfam family "Bacterial small subunit ribosomal RNA", at positions 337 to 796 of the family's 1533-position model. Lineage: Bacteria; Pseudomonadati; Thermodesulfobacteriota; Syntrophorhabdia; Syntrophorhabdales; Syntrophorhabdaceae. The record is from RNAcentral.
CCCUACGGGAGGCAGCAGUGGGGAAUAUUGGGCAAUGGGCGAAAGCCUGACCCAGCGACGCCGCGUGGGUGAUGAAGGCCUUCGGGUUGUAAAGCCCUUUCGUGCGGAAAGAACUGUCCCGCGGUGAAUACCCGCGGGAUCUGACGGUACCGCAGGAAGAAGCACCGGCUAACUCCGUGCCAGCAGCCGCGGUAAUACGGAGGGUGCAAGCGUUGUUCGGAAUUAUUGGGCGUAAAGGGCGCGUAGGUGGUUGUGAUAGUCAGAUGUGAAAUCCUCUGGCUCAACUGGAGAACUGCAUCUGAAACUUCAUAACUCGAGUACAGGAGAGGGAAACGGAAUUCCCGGUGUAGAGGUGAAAUUCGUAGAUAUCGGGAGGAACACCAGUGGCGAAGGCGGUUUCCUGGCCUGAUACUGACACUGAGGCGCGAAAGCGUGGGGAGCAAACAGGAUUAGAUACCCCGGUAGUCG